Molecule: long non-coding RNA, 347 nt
Filed under: Gossypium barbadense (sea-island cotton)
Lineage: Eukaryota; Viridiplantae; Streptophyta; Magnoliopsida; Malvales; Malvaceae
Description: long non-coding RNA (GBAR_LNC000163)
Source: RNAcentral
AAGUGACUGGAGGAGUUUGUAUUUGAUGUGCGGCGGUCGCUGCGGCGGUGGGCGUCGCCGUAAAAGUUGGUCACUGGGGCAAGUUUUUUUCGACCCGAGGGCCAAAUGGGUUCAAGAAUGGAAUAGGGUUUUCCUCCUGGUAUGCGCGACGGGACUGUUCGUGGACCCAUUGUUCUUUUACGCCCUGUCCAUUAGCGACACGUGCAUGUGCCUCUUCGUGGACGGGUGGUUCGCCAUCACCGUGACGGCGCUCCGGUGCAUGACUGACGCGUUGCACGUGUGGAACAUGUGCCUCCAGCUCAAAAUGAUCAAGAGAUCAUCGUCGUCGUACAGUCGCGGCAAUGACA